CGCCGCUCGGCGGAGCCGCCGCUCCCACACGCUGCGCGUCGCCCGUCGCUCCGCGGCGCAGUCGGCGCACACGUGUACACCAUGAGACGCUGGCGGGUGCGCCUGCUGCGGCUGUGCCGUAACAAGGCCAAAGGGCCGCUGUUCACCGUGUUCGCUAUGUGCUGUGUGCUGCUCACGCUGUCGAUCGUGCAGAGCUGGCUGCAGGGGAGUCAACGAUCCAUCUCAGACUCGGAGGCGCUUCAGUCCCUCUCAGAUAUGGCCGAGCUGCUGGAGGAGGGCGCCGGCCGUCCCGACCUGGCCGACCAGCUGCGCAACGAUAUCGCCGCCGACACCGGGCUCGAACCGCCCGAGGACGACGGCGAGAACGAACGAGAAGUCAUGGAGUUCGAGGAUGGUGUGAGCCAGGCGAACAUCAGCAAGUCAUCGAGAGACCCGGAGGCCGACAUCGACCGGGAUCUCAGCUGCACCACCCACAUCAUGUUCCUGGCCGACAGUCAGCUCGGCAACUUCAUGGUCAAAUACGCGGUGCUCUACGGAUUCCAGCGGAAAUACAGCGCCAAAGUCUACCUUUUCCCAAAACAAUACCGAUUCGCAAAUAAAAUAUUCAAGAAGCUCUCCAUCGAUGUCGUACCAGAUGAGCUAAAGACGGCCGACUGGAGGCCGGUCAGCUACGAGGACAUCAUGUACAUGCUGCCCUGCAACAAAUACGUCACAGAAGAGGAGUUCUUCAUCGUGACUGACUGGCCGGCGGACAACGGUCUUCAGCUCUAUUCCCAAUACGUGGACGAACUCCGAAAAGACUUCGAGUUCACACCUGCAUUUAGAACUAGGGCUCGGAGGUACACCGAACGCUUCCGUGCCUCGCCCAACACGACGCUGGUUGGCAUCCACGUCAGGCGGGGAGACCAUAUUCUGCACACAUGGUUGCGUCACCAGCGGAAGGUUCCCGACCUGGACUACUUCAACAAGUCCAUGCAAUAUUACGCCGCCAUGUUUCCCGACGUCCGCUUCGUGGCCUGUUCAGAUGACAGGCGGUUUCUGCUGAACAAGCUGGUGCCCAACGCGCCCUUCCCCAUCUAUACAAUCGACAGUGUGAACCAGGUGCACGACAUGGCGCUGCUGGCCGCCUGCGACCACACCGUCAUCACCGUGGGCACUUUCGGCCUGUUCUCGGGAAUGCUCACAGGGGGCAGCAUCGUCGCCGCGUCGCGCCACACCGGCACUCGGGGCGACCCGUUCGACAUUCAGGUCAACCCGCCCGGAGACAUCGGCCAGGCGUUCCUGUGGAAUUAGCGACUGUGCAGUGAGACAUGGGUGGUGUCUCUGGUCUCACCGGUGAUAGCAGUACGUUGCUAUUCCGUUUCGCGAGCUGACGUCACACUUGUGGGGCAAUAGGCUUGUUGACGUCAUGGAGUAAUCCAAUUUGACACGUGCAAUGGCAGCGUGCUGCUAUCAUCGGUGAAACACCACCGUGGACAGGAGUGUGCCUGGAAGCGUGUGGAACAUGUGAUCUUUGUGAUGGGGUCCAUAGUUUUCGAUCUAGUUUGGGUAUGAGCGUGGACGGCGAAAACAGGAGCCUGGAGGACAUACGAGCCUGCCGACUCGUAGGUGACCAUCUUAAGUCACGUCAUAAACUACUCCAUGUCACGGAAUAAUAUUCGUAGAUUGAUAAUACUCAUAGACUCGUCUAUGGUCACGUGAUCAAAGAUGAAGCUUUCCUUCUUCCGUAUCAUUUGCCUGUGCGAUAGAGCUCAGGUCACGUGCUCAACGAGGCAGCUUUUAAGAUGUCUAAAAACCUCCCGCGGGCACCUGUAUUCACCGUUCACCGGUAUCAGGAGGUAUUAGUCGGGGCUGGCAGCGCCACCUGUCGAUAAGUAUUUAAAGUAUUUUUGGCUGUCUGACUGAGCUGACAUGACCGUUGACACCAAUGACGGGCUUUUCAUUUCUACACUUUGAGGCUUUGAGCAUGAAUUGGAUUCCGAAGAUGACAUUAGCGUCAUGACCUCUGACGUCACUGAUAUGCGGUCUGCUGGGCCACUGUAAACCCGAUUAUUAAGGGAAUUUACCAAACUGCUGUUAACCUAUGAAUAGGUUAUGGAAAUGUUUCUCGUCCAAGCGACCUAUAACAGUCGGCAAAUGUGGGUCUGGUAUGUACUACUAACAUCGUGUAUCAAUUCAAUAUGUCGCAUAUCGUUCCAGUGUGGUAUAUGUCAUAUGUAUGUGCGUUAUUGUUUGAACUUUGAACAAUAAGUACUGUGUUCUGAAAACUGUCAAUAGGUACUCUUUGAUAGGUUCACGCUCUUACUGUACAGAUGUGGUGCGCUGCGGGAACCUUUAUUUUGUUACACAUGGUCACUGCGCUGCAUUGCAUGCAUGCUUAGUGACAGUUUUACUUUGUGUAAUGUGCACCGAGAUGUCGAAUUGUAUGGAAUGUGGCAACAUGACGUCUGCUAUGAGUUGGUUUUGCGAAUACAUUUUGUAAAUGGAAACUUAAUAUAAAUCUUCAUUAAGUUUCUCCAUCAGUAUUUCAAGUGUCGGAUGUGUGUCAUAACCUUUGCGAUGAAAGUUAGUUUGGAAUGAGUACGUAAUUUAAGAAUAAAACAUUCAAUGAAUAUUGAAUAGCGUACAAUAUUGUAUAAGGAUGUGAUAUAAUAAAUAAAUGGAUACUGAAUA
Molecule: unclassified non-coding RNA, 2673 nt
Filed under: Amphibalanus amphitrite
Lineage: Eukaryota; Metazoa; Arthropoda; Thecostraca; Balanomorpha; Balanidae
Description: galactoside alpha-(1,2)-fucosyltransferase 1-like, transcript variant X1
Source: RNAcentral